RNAcentral lists this ribosomal RNA (281 nucleotides) under uncultured microorganism. RNAcentral's name for it is "partial 16S ribosomal RNA". It matches the Rfam family "Archaeal small subunit ribosomal RNA", at positions 330 to 618 of the family's 1478-position model. The record is from RNAcentral.
GUGCAGCAGGCGAGAAACCUCCGCAAUGCUCGAAAGAGCGACGGGGACGUCCAAGUGCCUACGCUCAGCGUAGGCUGUUCCCGAGCCUAAAAGACUCGGGAGUAAGGGCUGGUAAGACGGUGCCAGCCGCCGCGGUAAUACCGCAGCCCGAGUGGUGGCCGCUAUUAUUGGGCCUAAAGCGUCCGUAGCCGGCUCGGUAAAUGCCUGGGUAAAUCGUCUGGCCCAACCAGACGAAUUCCGGGUAGACUGCCGGGCUAGGGACCGGAGGAGGGAGAGGGUAC